RNAcentral lists this non-coding RNA (25 nucleotides) under Rattus norvegicus (Norway rat). Lineage: Eukaryota; Metazoa; Chordata; Mammalia; Rodentia; Muridae. The record is from RNAcentral.
UUGCAGGAUGAAGAGACAGAUUGGU